UAAUCAAGUGUUUUAUGGCACUUUUUAAAUCCAUAUCCACCUUGUGUGCAAUGUCAGUCGAUCUUCUUCAUGGAGAUCGACCAAACAUCAACCUUUAUCUUUUAACUCUUUGUCUGAAAAAUAUUAUGAAUAAACAAUUCAAAAUA
RNAcentral lists this unclassified non-coding RNA (146 nucleotides) under soil metagenome. Its description in RNAcentral is "partial internal transcribed spacer 1". The record is from RNAcentral.